UUUUUCCAGGGCUGCUCUGUAUCCCCAGUCCGGCCCUGACCAUGGUGACCACGGGUAAUGGGGAAUCAGGGUUCGCUUACGAAGAGGGAGCCUGAGAAACGGCUACUACAUCCAAGGAAGGCAGCAGGCGCGCAAUUUACCCACUCCCGACGCGGGGAGGUAGUGAUGAAAAAUAACAAUACAGGACUCUUUCGAGGCCCUGUAAUUGGAAUGAGUACACUUUAAAUCCUCUAACAAGGAUCUAUUGGAGGGCAAGUCUGGUGCCAGCAGCCGCGGUAAUUCCAGCUCCAA
Molecule: non-coding RNA, 291 nt
Organism: Pelobates cultripes (western spadefoot toad)
Lineage: Eukaryota; Metazoa; Chordata; Amphibia; Anura; Pelobatidae
Source: the annotation of a GenBank genome assembly